CUUCGGUCCUCCUUUCCCCCUCUUUCUCUUCUCUUCCCCUCAGUUGGAAAAAAAAAAAGAAAAAGAAGAAGAAAAAGAAGAAAAAAAAAAUUGUUAAGCCCCCGAACUGAAGGUUACGAGCGGCCCGUCAGCAGCCCACAUGUAACCGAACUGUCGUGUUUCAUGGCUUUUUGCCACUCCAGCUGUCAAUCAAAGCCCGGAAUGUCAAGAAGAACUGCAAGAUUAAAAGCAUCCUUCGUAUUUGUUGCUGAGUUGCUCAUGGACAUAUAAGGAAAGAGAUCCUUCCUCCAUUCUUUCCAACUCUGCCUACUCCAGCCUUUUCUCCAAAAGAGUAUUAUAGCACUUGGAGCAGUAUUGUAGCACUUGGACCACGUUCCCGUCCAUGGGGUCGCAAGGAGUCGAACAGGACUGAGCAACUGAACAAGAAGCACUUGGAAAGCUUCUGAUUUAAAUAGCCUCAUUUCAACUCCAAAUAAACCAUGUAGGUAGAAAACCGAAAAACCAGACUUCACUGUACCUCUUUGACUGCACUCUUGUAAACCGGGCUUCACUGGGCACAGGAGAUCACAUGUGUUAGGCUCCAUCAUCAAAUUACCUGGAAGAUUCAAAUCUUCCAGAGAAAAUGAAUUUGGAAAUAUACUUUUUCUUUUCAGUUAAAAGCCGUGAUAAGAGAAAAACAAUACAUAUAAAUGAUCGGCACGUUUUACCUUUAAAAGCUUUUGAACUCAAUCAAAAGACACAAGUUGGAAGCAGAAUUGACAGUUUUAAUUCUACCCAUUUUCACCUGGCACAUCAGAUCAGAGGCAAUCAUUUAUUUUAUGAGGGGUAGACGGGAAAGUCAGAUAGAAAGCUUGAAUCCACUGAAGUCUCUAUCCUAAAAAGAAUUACAGAGAAACUAGUGAAAUGGAAACAUUCCACUACUGCACACUCUCAGUCUAGUCUAAUUGAAAUUUAUAAAUUCAUAUUCUGCCUAAUUUUAUGCUUUUUAUUUUGUUUUCUAGGAUUCCCUCCAAGACUGAUAGGAAAGACAGGGCCACUUCUGGACUAUCUGUGAGGAUGUGUUUCUUUCUAUAAUACUGAAGCACUUUUUAUAAACCUUUUGGUGUAUUUAAAUAAAUCUAUUUGGACAUUAAGAGAAGUCAUAUAUACAAAGAUAGCUUUGCUUUAUUCCAGUAAUCCCGAUAUUAGAAAAGAAUUUCACAAUCUGAGACGCCUUGGCCAAAAAAAAAAAAAAAGUUUUCUGCGUGUAUGUGCAUGUCUUCGUGCGCACGUUUAUAAACAUCUCCCAGUCCGCGUUUGCGUGUUACCUCCCUCCUGCCACACACUCGAAGGCAGAGGCGUCGAGGGAUCGCCCCCAGAGAGCUGUGUUUACUUAGGUUUUUUUUAAUCUCGCCGCCAUGUAUGACAAGUGUUACUUCAAGAAAUUCAUCAGCCUUCUAUAGAUACUUCCAGUUUUGCUGUAAUGAUCUGCAGAAGAGAACUGCCAUCACUUUCUCGCAUCCCAAGGUGUUGCAGGAACUCACCGAAAGGGGAAAGUGGCUGAAACGCUUAAUUACAGUGGGGGAGGGAGGGGCGCGAGGCGGAACCUCGGAAGGGAGAGUGGGGAAGGUCUUUACCUGGCCUGGACCUGAAGAAAGCUGUGAAUCCUCGCGUUGAAAAUUUGAGAAAGGUAGGAUUGCUUUUUUUUUUUUUUGCAAUGCCUUUGGGGAGAAGUGAUACCCUUGUGUAACAAUUAGCUCAGAC
This is a long non-coding RNA of Bos taurus (domestic cattle), 1743 nucleotides long. NCBI's taxonomy places the organism in Eukaryota, Metazoa, Chordata, Mammalia, Artiodactyla, Bovidae. The record is from Ensembl.